This 500-nucleotide ribosomal RNA is filed under the name uncultured bacterium. RNAcentral describes it as "partial 16S ribosomal RNA". It matches the Rfam family "Bacterial small subunit ribosomal RNA", at positions 30 to 523 of the family's 1533-position model. The record is from RNAcentral.
AUUGAACGCUGGCGGAAUGCUUUACACAUGUAAGUCGAACGGCAGCACGGACUUCGGUCUGGUGGCGAGUGGCGAACGGGUGAGUAAUGUAUCGGAACGUGCCCAGUCGUGGGGGAUAACGUAGUGAAAAUUACGCUAAUACCGCAUACGAUCUAUGGAUGAAAGCGGGGGAUCGCAAGACCUCGCGCGAUUGGAGCGGCCGAUAUCAGAUUAGGUAGUUGGUGGGGUAAAGGCUCACCAAGCCAACGAUCUGUAGCUGGUCUGAGAGGACGACCAGCCACACUGGAACUGAGACACGGUCCAGACUCCUACGGGAGGCAGCAGUGGGGAAUUUUGGACAAUGGGCGAAAGCCUGAUCCAGCCAUUCCGCGUGCAGGAUGAAGGCCCUCGGGUUGUAAACUGCUUUUGUACAGAACGAAAAGGUUUCUACUAAUACUAGGAGCUCAUGACGGUACUGUAAGAAUAAGCACCGGCUAACUACGUGCCAGCCGCCGCAGUAA